UCCCCGACUGACGCGUAGAAGAGCGUGGUCAUGAAUUAAAGUAACGGGACCUAGGCGGAAUUUCGGAAGUUCUGUGAAAAGAAUCCCUCUCGCGUGGUCGAGAUUCAAGAUUAGUUCGGAGAUAAGCAAACGCGGUGACCCGGAAACGCUCGGUGUCGAGCGCGCAGUUGCCAAGGCGACUGGUGCGCGCGCGUGUCGCAGGUCACGAAUCGAGGUUAUGGGCUGCAGACGCACUCCGGAUUUUCUAGGGUUUUGGGCCUUUGCUGGUUGAUCGCCGCCCCGAAUGAGGCUUUUGACCACUCAGAAUGGACUUCUCAGUGCUCGGUCAUUACGACCCCGGCGUCGAGGCCACCGCCGCCGCAGAACAAGAUCUCCUCUGGGAGGAAUCCCAUUACGAUUUAUCCGGUGAGGGUUUCGUCCCAGUGGCGGAGCAGUUUGGGGAAGAGUUUGCUGGAGCAGAGUUUCACGAGACGAGAACGUUACUUGCCGAUGGAGGUGACCGUUUUGGUGUGUCCACAGCCACAUUCGAUACGAUCGAAGAGCUCAUGUGGAUGGGCAACCAAGGGGGUCACGUGACUUCUUAUUAUGGCUCUGGCCUACAAAAGUACACAUCUUUCCAAGUCCAUGCAACGCAACAAGUUCGACACAUUCAUCCUGUGGAUGAGGGGAUCUUGGUACUCACUCAGAGUAUGUUACGAUGCCAGUUGCGGCGAGGCAUACCAAUAUUUUCCCAUACGUCGACAAACAUGAUGGACAUGCAAUGCAUGUUGCAAAUCGCGCCGACCAGGUUACUCAUGGCUGGCCAUCAGGAGAAAUUGAUCGACUUUAACUUAACUAGAGGCAAAGAGACUGGAACUGUUCAUGUAGGUGAACACGGUUGUGCAAUAUUGAGGCAACACAGCAGGCUGGUAUGUGCAGGCAAUCCUGCAGGACGUAUCGACCUCAGAGACCCGAAUACUCUAUCGGUGGAGCAUACUCUGGACACCCAUAGUGGUUCCCUCAGUGAUUUUGAUGUCCAAGGGAAUUACCUGGUGACUUGUGGCUUCAGCAACAGUCGCCAGGGGCUUUCGGUCGAUCGAUUUCUGAUGGUCUACGACUUGAGGCAGAUGAGAGCCUUGAGUCCGGUCACGACGAUGGUUUACCCACUUCUGCUCAAGUUCCUACCGAGCUACUCGAGUCGCCUUGCAGUCGUAUCUCCGUUUGGCCAAAUGCAACUGCUCGAUACAAUUUACGCCAACGUCCAACCGACCAUGACGUGUUUAUAUCAGGUCGCUACCGGAGGUGCCUUGGUGCUUUCCUUUGACGUUUCCCCCACGUCUCAAUGUCUCUGCUUCGGAGACUCGGCAGGGACCAUACAUCUGAUGUCUACGAACACAUCGGAGCCACAGUUUAACACCUUCUCCAGACCCACGGAAUUUGCCGAUCCCGUUGAAACGCUCCAACCCAUCCCGUUCGACGACGAUUCGACGCCCUUUAGUACGAUACCUAUGAUUUAUACAGGACACGCUCUAUUAAGCGACUGGCCGGAGGAAUACAUGAAGAAGGUGUACAGGAAGACGCCGCCGAUCGACCCGGAAAUCCUGCGCACAAUGAAGAUGCAAGGAACAAUCGGAUACGCACCGAACCCCCAGGCCUUUCGACGUAACCAAAUCCCUUACAAUACGGAAAAACGACGGGGGGUUGUGACCAAACUCUUCGCCACGGAGCCACGAUCAAAGUCAGAGGAUGCUACCUUCGUCGCCAUUCCUAAGCGUUACCGUAAGAUCGAGGCUAAGUACUCCAGGCUUGGUUACGAUGAGUUCGACUUUGACCAGUACAAUCGUACCAGCUUUUGCGGACUCGAGGCUACGCUUCCCAACAGCUAUUGCAACGCCAUGUUGCAGCUACUCUACUACUGCGAGCCCAUCAGAAUAGCGCUGCUGUCGCAUUCGUGCCAGAGGGAGUUUUGCCUUUCCUGCGAGCUGGGCUUCCUCUUCCACAUGCUGGACACUUCCCGAGGUUGGCCUUGCCAAGCUGCCAACUUUUUGCGAGCCUUCCGGACAGUUCCCGAAGCUUCGGCUCUGGGCCUCAUCCUCAGCGACCUCCACCCUGAAGCCAAACGGAAAACCAGCCUGGCUAGAUUGAUACAGAGUUGGAACAGGUUCAUCCUACAUCAGAUGCACUAUGAGAUCCUGGAAACCCGGAAGCGGCUGCAAGAGGAAGCGGAAGCGAUGCGCCUGAAGACUGGACCGAAGUACCCGCCGUUCGUCUACAACGAGGAGGACUUCCCCAGCAUCCUGCAGGACCUCGGCUCCAGAUACAAGACCAACGAGGACGACCGGAAGAAGCGCCGGAAGCAAGAGGGGGAUGACAGUAAAAAACCGGAGGAGAACGAAGUCCGGGACGAGGAAACCGAGAUCAGUCGACUAUUUGGCUCUGAGCAGAUCCAUAUUCAUCGGUGCUUAAAGUGCGGCCAGGAAGCCUCCAAGAGGUCCAUCAUGCUGCUGUGUAACUUGUCCUAUCCGGAGAUGAUGAGCGCAUCCGACGAGGUCCCUUUUACGACGGUCCUCGCCAGGAGUCUAAGCCCGGAAAAGAUAACGCCAGCUUGGUGCGACGCUUGCCAAAAGUUUGCGCCUACUCUUCAGUCCCGGAAACUGACCAAACUGCCGCUGAUAUUGGCGCUGAACUGUGGACUAGACUCUAAAGAGGACAAGUCCUUCUGGCAGCGCCAGAUGGACAUCGUGGUGCAAAAGGUCCUGGGAGUGAAGGACUUCAGCCCAGCCUCCAGUCCUGUACCGGUGACCAUAAAGCCUUGCCGAUACGGCACAAAUUGCACGCGUGCUGGUUGUCGGUUUAGACACGCCGGUAGGGAAUCUGAUACGACGGCUGCGUCUUCGCCUGGGACACCGCCAACGAGUACUAGCGGCCCGGUCCCGACUCCUCCGAGCCACCUUUAUUACUCGCAUUCCUGGAUCCCGCAUAAUAUUCGAGUGACCCUGGACGAGAACGGGGAAUUGGCCAUCGAAAGACUGGAGAAACCUGCGCAGCCUACGGAAAAAUUGGUCGUUGAGAAUGGCCAGGGAGAUAACAUCAUAAAGACCAGCGACGAGCAAGAAGAAAGUGCUCGUGAGAAGCUUGCCAAUGAGGGGGAUGGUGGUGGUUCCGAUGGUACCGAGGCCGAUGACAGUGCCCAGGGCAACCUGGAAAGGAAAGCCGUGGACAUUCAGUAUACUUUGACGGCGGUUAUUUGCUACGUCGAUGAUAAGACCAGCGACGACCGGAAAAACGUCGUCGCGCUGAUACGUGUCGGGCCUAACUAUCACGAGAGACUCUCCGGUAGUGCCGUCUCCCAGUGGUACAUCUUUAACGACUUCAGCAUAUCCGCAGUGACGCCUCAAGAAGCUGUGUGGUUUAAUCUCGACUGGAAAGUACCUUGCGUCCUGCAUUAUACUGCAACCCCAGCACCGGAAUCGGCCCAGUUUGUCAGUCCUUUGACUUAUGACGUGUUUGGGGAAGACAAAUGCGUCGCACGAAGCGGCGGUACCAGGGGUAUCACUUUUACGCCCUUGACUUCUGACGAAAUGCCGAAAAGCGGAGAACUAGUGGGAAUCGACGCAGAAUUUGUAACGCUCAAUCAAGAGGAGGCUGAACUUCGCAGUGAUGGGAAAAUGUCCACCAUCAAACCUAGUCAUAUGUCUGUGGCGAGAAUCACUUGUAUUCGCGGGCAAGGUCCGCUUGAGGGAACUCCGUUCAUAGACGACUACAUAAGCACUCAGGAACAAGUGGUGGAUUACUUGACGAAAUUCAGCGGGAUUCAGCCAGGCGACCUGGACGCCAACUUCAGUAGCAAACACCUCACCACUCUGAAGUCUACGUACCAGAAGCUGCGAUUUCUGGUGGACAAUGGCAUAAUAUUCGUUGGCCAUGGUCUGAAGAAUGACUUUAGAGUCAUCAACCUAGUGGUGCCAGCGGAGCAGAUCGUGGACACGGUAUUGCUCUUCCAUUUACCCCAUCAUCGGAUGGUGUCCUUGCGAUUCUUGACCUGGCACUUCUUGGGAAAGAAGAUACAGUCAGAGACCCACGACUCCGCGGAAGAUGCCAGAGCUGCUUUGGCGCUCUACCAUAAGUACAAAGAGCUAGAGAGCUCCGGGAGGCUGACGGAGGUCCUGAAGGAACUCUACAGCGCCGGCACCAAACUGCAGUGGAAGGUGCCGGAUAGCUGAUAUAUGGACAAAUCGUCCGGCGAGGAACCUAAAGGCAUCGGUCCUUGUGACCAAGAUCUAGAUUUCACGGGCUUGUGAUGUGAUAUCACGGAAGGUCUUGGAGCGACUGAAGCGAACUCGCCCUUCCUCGCCUGGACAUCCUGAACGAGAAGUGCCUAUCAGAAGGUGAUCGACGUCUAUCUAUGUUGAGCACUCAUUGACCCUUCGGUAGGCAUGAUCGAGACGCCCGUCUCUCUCGUCCAGGGUCGAAAAUGAUCUCACAACGAGAUACUCAAGAAACCUGUGGGUCCUUCACUGAACUCUGUGAGGGAUGGUCCACCGAUCGGACGACGCCUUCCCGGUCUGGGAGCAAAGGCUGAGAUUUUUAUUAUUUAACACGGUUUACGGGUACGGUAACUCUCAAUAGUCAUUUAUAUUUCGGUAUUGGCUCUCUAUUGCACCGACAAGUGCAUCCAUUUACUCAGUUGAAUUGAAGUUACGCGGUACGUGCGUAAGUCGGUCGCGAUAUCGGUCGUCCAAUCGUUGAUACGAUUUACAGGAUUGGGCGGUGGGAAUCCUCGUCCGUAGUUUUAAUAUUUUCCUCUUUCUUUCCUUUUCUUUUCUUUUCGUAUAUCAUUUUAACGGCGACUCGCGGCGUAAUCUACACAUCACUGUCCCUUACAUCUCUGUACAUAGAACCCGAGGAAGGCAACGUUUCGUCGGAGGGUUGCAUUUCGAUGCCGCCCCUGUUACUCAAGCUUACCGAGUGUAUAUUUAUUUUUGACCAGUCCGUUUCCGUGCACUGUAACAUACGAUGUGCUGUUUUGUUCCACCGUGCACGGGCUUGUGUUAAAUGUACAUAUGCGAGGGUACUCGAAGGGGUUAACGGACGACAACUGGAACGAGAUGCCUCUUCAAGCUCGAGACCGCUCCAGGGCCGCGUUACCCGUUCAAGUAUCGCUUUUUUUCUUUUUUUAAUAUUUAUCCGCCACGUCGAGUCCCCUGCAUUCCCACGGGGCCCUCGAAAUGUAAUCUUAACGACACGACGAUAGGUAUAUUUUACUAAACGCGCGCUCAUUGUAAUUUAUUUUUCUACGUGCUUUGCGAAAGAGACGAUGCUCCGGAUUGUUAUGUCCCGAGGCUAACGGGGACUGACGCGAUGUGUAUAUUUUUCGAUACUUCGACGAGACUUUACCGAUGAUUUUCUCAAUUAUCAUUGUAUACGGCGAACGGGCGAUACCGAUCGACUAUUAAAGGUCUCGGUCGAGGGCCACCGAUUCGUCGUUGUGCUUUUUCAAUAAACGAUUCCACCGAGGACCGAGACAUCACGUAUCGAGUU
Molecule: RNA transcript, 5520 nt
Organism: Orussus abietinus
Lineage: Eukaryota; Metazoa; Arthropoda; Insecta; Hymenoptera; Orussidae
Gene: PAN2
Gene name: PAN2-PAN3 deadenylation complex catalytic subunit PAN2
Exons: 22
Source: RefSeq, a predicted model, not a curated record